UACGUAAGGGGCGAGCGUUGUCCGGAAUCACUGGGCGUAAAGGACGCGUAGGCGGCUGAGUAAGUCAGGGGUGAAAGCUGUGAGCUCAACUCACAAAUUGCUUCUGAAACUACUCGGCUUGAGUUCUGCAGGGGAAAGUGGAAUUCACGGUGUAGCGGUGAAAUGCGUAGAUAUCGUGGAGAACACCCGUGGCGAAGGCGGCUUUCUGGGCAGACACUGACGCUGAGGCGUGAAAGCUAGGGGAGCGAACAGG
This 253-nucleotide ribosomal RNA is filed under the name uncultured bacterium. RNAcentral describes it as "partial 16S ribosomal RNA". It matches the Rfam family "Bacterial small subunit ribosomal RNA", at positions 524 to 776 of the family's 1533-position model. The record is from RNAcentral.